UACAGAGGGUGCGAGCGUUAAUCGGAAUUACUGGGCGUAAAGCGUGCGUAGACGGUUAUUUAAGUCGGAUGUGAAAGCCCCGGGCUCAACCUGGGAAUGGCAUUCGAGACUGCAUAGCUAGGAUGCGGAAGAGGGAAGUGGAAUUUCCGGUGUAGCGGUGAAAUGCGUAGAUAUCGGAAGGAACAUCAGUGGCGAAAGCGACUUCCUGGUCCAGCAUCGACGUUCAGGCACGAAAGCGUGGGGAGCAAACAGG
Molecule: ribosomal RNA, 253 nt
Filed under: uncultured bacterium
Lineage: Bacteria
Description: partial 16S ribosomal RNA
Rfam family: Bacterial small subunit ribosomal RNA
Source: RNAcentral